This 346-nucleotide ribosomal RNA is filed under the name uncultured soil bacterium. Its description in RNAcentral is "bacterial SSU rRNA". It matches the Rfam family "Bacterial small subunit ribosomal RNA", at positions 26 to 381 of the family's 1533-position model. The record is from RNAcentral.
AGAUUGAACGCUGGCGGCAUGCCUUACACAUGCAAGUCGAACGCGAAAGGGGGGCAACCCCCGAGUAGAGUGGCGAACGGGUGAGUAAUACAUCGGAACGUAUCCAGUAGCGGGGGAUAACCUCUCGAAAGAGAGGCUAAUACCGCAUACGACCUACGGGUGAAAGAGGGGGAUCGCAAGACCUCUCACUAUUGGAGCGGCCGAUGUCGGAUUAGCUAGUUGGCGGGUAACGCCACCAAGGCUACGAUCCGUAGCUGGUCUGAGAGGACGACCAGCACACUGGAACUGAGACACGGUCCAGACUCCUACGGGAGGCAGCAGUGGGAAUUUGGACAAUGGGCGCAAG